Molecule: long non-coding RNA, 260 nt
Organism: Dinoponera quadriceps
Lineage: Eukaryota; Metazoa; Arthropoda; Insecta; Hymenoptera; Formicidae
Exons: 2
Source: RefSeq, a predicted model, not a curated record
AAGAGUUCCGCCAGAAAUGAGGUCAAGAGUUUCAUGUACAACGACAAGUAUACUGUUAUCAGGCUAUCACAGUAGUACGAUCACAUCAGCAUCACAAUAUCGGAGAUUUAUCAUUUAUCAGAGAGAUUGCAAAAUGUGGCUCUUACAGAAAGACUCCCACCAACGGGUCGCUAGUUGAGUUCGUGUAAAAUGUGGAGAUAAGAUGAUAAGAGCGACAAUCGAGACGCGUGGCCCGACCGCGACGAGAUCCAACUUCGAAA